CAUGCAAGUCGAACGUGAUUUUUGUGGAAAUCUUUCGGGAAUGGAAAUGAAAUGAAAGUGGCGAGCGGGUGAGUAACACGUGAGCAUCCUACCUUACACAGGGGGAUAGCCGUUGGAAACGACGAUUAAUACCGCAUGAGACCACAGAAUCGCAUGAUAUAGGGGUCAAAGAUUUAUCGGUGUAAGAAGGGCUCGCGUCUGAUUAGCUAGUUGGAAGGGUAAAGGCCUACCAAGGCGACGAUCAGUAGCCGGUCUGAGAGGAUGAACGGCCACAUUGGAACUGAGACACGGUCCAAACUCCUACGGGAGGCAGCAGUGGGGAAUAUUGCACAAUGGGGGGAACCCUGAUGCAGCGACGCCGCGUGAGCGAAGAAGGUUUUCGAAUCGUAAAGCUCUGUCCUAUGAGAAGAUAAUGACGGUAUCAUAGGAGGAAGCCCCGGCUAAAUACGUGCCAGCAGCCGCGGUAAUACGUAUGGGGCGAGCGUUGUCCGGAAUUAUUGGGCGUAAAGGGUACGUAGGCGGUUUUUUAAGUCAGGUGUGAAAGCGUGAGGCUUAACCUCAUUAAGCACUUGAAACUGGAAGACUUGAGUGAAGGGGAGGAAAGUGGAAUUCCUAGUGUAGCGGUGAAAUGCGUAGAUAUUAGGAGGAAUACCGGUGGCGAAGGCGACUUUCUGGACUUUUACUGACGCUCAGGUACGAAAGCGUGGGGAGCAAACAGGAUUAGAUACCCUGGUAGUCCACGCCGUAAGCGAUGAAUGCUAGGUGUUGGGAGUCAAAUCUCGGUGCCGAAGUUAACACAUUAAGCAUUCCGCCUGGGG
Molecule: ribosomal RNA, 818 nt
Filed under: uncultured Peptostreptococcus sp.
Lineage: Bacteria; Bacillati; Bacillota; Clostridia; Peptostreptococcales; Peptostreptococcaceae
Description: bacterial SSU rRNA
Rfam family: Bacterial small subunit ribosomal RNA
Source: RNAcentral